UAUUUCCCCAUUGCGUUCAUCUAAACAAAAUAGUCAAGUCGCACUCGCACCGAUACUUUUCUUCAAUCGUAAUAAAAAUUGGCACAAAGCAAUCAGAAUCACGAGACGCUGCUGACUUUUGUUCUCCAGUAAUAGUUGGGUAGACGUUCAUUGCUGAUUUCAAGCAAUGGAAAAACAAUCCGGAGAUGUACCAGCAGAUUCAUCCGCUUCGUCGCAAAAUCUCCAGAAUUGGAUUGCUGCACAAGAUUUUCUCAGGACUAAACUGAUCAUAGAAGAUAGUUUCACAUGGAAACUAAACCCACCUAUUGGCACAAGCAGACGGGCAGCUGAUUCUGAAAGGAGACCAGGAGCGUUGGAAGUGUUAAGCUAUGUAGGUGGGGUUGAUAUAAGCUUCUCUAAGGAUGACCCAUCAAUGGCAUGCGGCACCCUUGUAGUAUUGGACUUUCCAACUUUACAAGUUGUCUACGAGGACUUCUCUUUGGUCACUGUUCAUGUCCCUUACGUUCCCGGUUUCCUUGCAUUUAGAGAGGCGCCUGUUCUUCUAGAGCUUCUGGAGAAAAUGAAAAGAAGCAACAAUUCUUUCUACCCACAGUUGUUAUUUGUCGAUGGAAAUGGAAUACUCCAUCCUCGAGGUUUUGGCCUGGCCUGUCAUCUUGGAGUUGUGGCUGAUCUGCCAACAAUUGGGAUAGGAAAGAAUCUGCAUCAUGUGGAUGGUCUUAAUCAAUCUAGAGUGAGACAGCUUCUAGAAGCUGAAGAAAACCAUGCUAAGGAUUUUAUUACUUUGGCAGGAUGUUCCGGGCAUAUAUGGGGGGCGGCCGUGAGAUCUACACAGGGAUCUGUAAAGCCAAUAUUUGUUUCAAUUGGUCAUCGGAUAUCACUUCCCACUGCUAUUGCAAUUGUUCUGAUGACUUCCAAAUAUCGUGUGCCCGAGCCCAUUAGGCAGGUGAAACUUUUUGCCACUUGAGAAUUGGAAGCACAAGAAGUCUACUGAAUUCAUUGUAGGGAUAUAAUACAUAUAUCUUACCAGUCUAAGGACAACAAUAAUAUUGCACCAAGCAGAUAAAUCUUCUUCAACUGAAUGGCAGGCUGACAUAAGAUCUAGAGACUAUAUCCGGAAGCUUCAAACAAACCCCCGAAUUAUGUAACUUUACUAUGGUAUGCUGCUAUUCAGUAUUCACUUUAAACACCUCAUUGAGCUAAAAUGAUUUGAAUUUUGCAGUAGCCUGGCGUUUUAAGUAGUUAAAUCAUCAUAAUUUUUCACAGCCAGGUAUAUGGUUGAAUGAACCCAAGGACUUGCCUUUAAUAUAAUUUAUCUCUUGAACCAUUCACCUGAUACAAUCCUGGCACAAACUAGAAUGAUGCAGAUUUUAUCUCGUCUUUUGCACUCAUUUAUCUCAUUGUUGAGAUAAAGUAUGAUGUGAUUGGACUAUUUUAUAAUUUGUUGGUUCCCAACUCCUUUAUUCUGCACUGGAAUUCAAUGACUUCUUAUGUAAAUCUCUUUCAGGCUUUACCUUCUGGUAGGUUUGAUUAUGUCAUAAGGCUUGGGUGAGAUAAAAUAAUAAAGUUAGACAGGCUAAUCAUACGCAAGGGACAUGGAUGAACUUUUUUGGUCAACCUGCUCUAUAUUUGCCAUGGAUGACUCGAAAUGCGUGGAUAGGACCAGCAAGUGAAAUUAAACGGUCAAACCAAGGACGCUGGAACAUCUUAGCUUCAUAGCUUGGUUGUGAGUAUUCAAUCACCUGCUCAGACCUCAGUAAAUACUUGAACCGUCUCUGCAGUUUAGUUGUGUCCUCGUCUCUGACAAGCUACAGCAUAAUGGUCAAUUUAACUGAAAGCGGUAUCCCAUCCAUUCAGCCAGUUUAUAUAUAAAUGGCUCCCAAAAGGAAAGGAAUGUGAGACUACAUCCUAAAAAGUAGUGCUAGAGCGUCUUUGAUCUUUAAAAGGUUUGUAAACAAUUAAUAGAUAUAUCUUGUUUGGAAGGCUGUGACAUAACUGAGAAAGUGACCGGAUCUGUAGCUCUGGGUUGACCUGUCAUAAAUUUUUUAUUUCAUAUCGAUAAGUAUAUCAUUUUUUUUUU
Molecule: RNA transcript, 2077 nt
Organism: Prosopis cineraria
Lineage: Eukaryota; Viridiplantae; Streptophyta; Magnoliopsida; Fabales; Fabaceae
Exons: 8
Source: RefSeq, a predicted model, not a curated record